UACGUAGGGAGCAAGCGUUGUCCGGAAUCAUUGGGCGUAAAGCGCGCGUAGGCGGCCUCGUAAGUCCGUUGUGAAAGUCAAAGGCUCAACCUUUGAAAGCCGAUGGAUACUGUGAGGCUAGAGUCCGGAAGAGGCGAGUGGAAUUCCUGGUGUAGCGGUGGAAUGCGCAGAUAUCGGAAGGAACACCAGUGGCGAAGGCGGCUUCCUGGACUAAUACUGACGCUGAGGUGCGAAAGCGUGGGGAGCAAACAGG
Molecule: ribosomal RNA, 253 nt
Filed under: uncultured bacterium
Lineage: Bacteria
Description: partial 16S ribosomal RNA
Rfam family: Bacterial small subunit ribosomal RNA
Source: RNAcentral